GGGGUUGUGGCUCAGCGGUAGAGCGCUAGCCUAGCUAGCUAGCACAGGCGGACGGAGGUUCGAUCCUCAGCACCA
This 75-nucleotide transfer RNA is filed under the name Marmota marmota marmota (Alpine marmot). It matches the Rfam family "tRNA". Rfam says of the family: Transfer RNA (tRNA) molecules are approximately 80 nucleotides in length. Their secondary structure includes four short double-helical elements and three loops (D, anti-codon, and T loops). Further hydrogen bonds mediate the characteristic L-shaped molecular structure. tRNAs have two regions of fundamental functional importance: the anti-codon, which is responsible for specific mRNA codon recognition, and the 3' end, to which the tRNAs corresponding amino acid is attached (by aminoacyl-tRNA synthetases). tRNAs cope with the degeneracy of the genetic code in two manners: having more than one tRNA (with a specific anti-codon) for a particular amino acid; and 'wobble' base-pairing, i.e. permitting non-standard base-pairing at the 3rd anti-codon position. RNAcentral also lists the same sequence under 1 other name. The record is from Rfam by way of RNAcentral. Lineage: Eukaryota; Metazoa; Chordata; Mammalia; Rodentia; Sciuridae.